AGUGACUACCAGAUAAGAUGUU
RNAcentral lists this non-coding RNA (22 nucleotides) under Arabidopsis thaliana (thale cress). Lineage: Eukaryota; Viridiplantae; Streptophyta; Magnoliopsida; Brassicales; Brassicaceae. The record is from RNAcentral.